Molecule: long non-coding RNA, 392 nt
Filed under: Glycine max (soybean)
Lineage: Eukaryota; Viridiplantae; Streptophyta; Magnoliopsida; Fabales; Fabaceae
Description: long non-coding RNA (GMAX_LNC001942)
Source: RNAcentral
CCUACAAUAAAUCCCCUAAUUUUAGGCAAUAUGUUACACUUGGCCCCCUUAAGCGUUUUGGAGGUCAGAAAUGUUAAGGGAGAAACACCAUGUGAGAGGCAUAUGAGUUUUAAUGAUUUUUAUUUUACCACAAAUGCCCUCAAUUCCCUCUUGAAAAACAAAAACAUUACACAACCAGAUUAUUUCUAGAACCUCGAAAAUACCAUAAUUUCGAGCCUCAGAUGAUAAAAUUCCCAGACUCUCAAACAACUCAAUUUCAAUCUCAACCUAAAAUAAAAUUUAGAUUCAUAACAAGUACUCUAUCAUAAUAUCCAUAACCACACGAUCAAGUAUCCAUAAUACUAUAAUAGAUUCAACCCCAUCAUUAAAGCCAAGUGAAAACUGCUCUUAGC